ACGGUAAUGUGAUCCAAAGUACCCCAAUGUGCUAACCUGUGAGAAAGAAACCACAAAAUCAUGAUCACACAGAACUCCAAAAAGGUUAAGAUAUGAGGUUGGUUCAGUGAGAUUUAGUUUUAGGUCUUUUAGAGACGUGGAAAAAUGGACACAAAAUACAUUAGAAUGAUGAUGAACUGUGCUUACCUCCAGAAACAUACUGAAGCUGCCACUAAAAUCAAGGGUUUUAACAAAAGAUCGUUAGUAAAAGGUUAAACGCUCGAGAAUAGAAACUAAAAAGACAUGAAAAUCUUGAAGCAUACUUAGAGUUUACUAAUUAAAAGUAUAUAGUUUUCAAAUGGAAAUAUCUUCCUAUAAAGGAAAAAAGGCCAGAAAAAAAUAUAUGAGCAGGAACAAUAAAAGAUGAUAAACACUGCAACGCGAUUCUGAUAUAUAUUGCAACAGUCUGAUCCUAGAUGUGAUGAAUUAAGGGAAGCAGUUUUACUUUUUGUCAAAUGUCCAUUCUUUGAUUUUUUCACCUCUGAUUCUAUGUUCCUCGCGGUGGGUUUUAUCAUGAAGUUUCCUCAGUUUCAUAUUAUCAUACUUACCCUGCUAAAACUCAAAAAUGAUAACAAUAUUGAAAGUGCAAAUGUAUGAUAACAAAAACAAAACCCUUUGGAAGAAGAAAACGCACAGAGGAACAAUAAGUUCCCUUACAAAAACCAAAUGGUUCAGAGAAUGCAAGAGAUCCAACGGAAACCUUCAGUUUUUCGAGGUUUUUCCUUCCCCAUUCAAGACCUUGUUAGCAAGCCUUAUGUCUCUCUCUGGAUCAUAAGUGCACAAAAUCACGUCGAAAAAAUCAGAUGUUAAAUGCACAAAAUCACGUCGAACAAAUCAGAUGUUUAUAUCAUGUUUAGAUGUUUAUAUCAUGUUUAGAGACAAAACAAAACAAAACACUCUAAUUUUAGUGCUUUUGAAUCAAAUAUUUUUACCAUGAUACCAUCAGAGUUCAGAGGAGAGCACAUCAAUUUGAUCUUUACUGUAAAUCUCUUUGUAACUUAUCGUGAUUCUCCUUCUUUAGCUCUUGUUUCUUUUUUUCUUUUUUGUCUGAAACGCCUAUGACAGCUUUCUCAUAUGUUCCCCAUCUUACAACUACGAAAAACAAAAUUCCAAUUUCCAGAAUCAUAAAUACAGAAAUAGGAUUUCUAAGAGAACCACACAAAAGUCGACUUUGAGAAUAAGAGUUCACAAGCCUGAAGUUUAAAAAAAAAGUGACUCUUGGGUAUGGUAAAGGUUUUGUAGAGAAGGAGAGAAGAAAGGAAGAGGAAUCAAUGAGCGGACUCUUGGAUAGGAAAUCAAAAGUUCAUAAUACGUUUUGCAGAGAAACCGAGAAGAAAGAAAAAGGAAUCGAUUUUGCCGAAUAAAAUUGAAGUUCAGUAUGUUAAUGUGUUGACCUAAUGACAUGUCAUAAAACUUGCGUUUGAUUGGUCUGAAUUUCCAAUCCGACGUGGACGCGUUUAGAGAGCUUGAUAUCCUGCUUUUAGUAUUGUUAGAUAUUUUUCUAAAUUUAAAGAAUGUAAUCUGAAUGAGAAAUUAAUGGCAAGGAAAUGACUUAGACUAUAGUAGGAAAGAUAUAUGGGUAAGAUCAACAAAUGUAUUAUUUACAAUGAAUUUGGUCACAAAAGAAAAAGAAAUAUAAAAAAAGAAAAAGAAAAAAAAAUCAAAAAAUCAUUAUGAGAAUCAGAUGAUAAUAAAAACAUCACGAUUGUAGGCUUCAACAUCAUCUAGAACAUAUAUUUUUCUGAACUUAAUCAAUGUGUUGUUGGUAGAAAGAAAAAGAUGAAUGACUUAACAAAUCUUUAUAUAUAAAGUACACUUUGAUUCCCUCCCAGAGGGUCCACGUUGGAUGACACCUCAUCAAUUCAUGCACUUUGGAAGCGACACGCGUCUCUGUUCUUCAAAGUGCACCGUUUCAUUUAGGUCAGCGUCUUUUAGUUUCAUCGUCUUCAUCGAAACGACGCAGCCACCGUGACGAUCAAAGUUCAGAACAAGCCUCUUACCAGAACGGUCUAAGCUUUCAUUUAAUUUGCGGUAUUUACGUUCUCAUUGACUCCAUUAAACCACGACUCCUCUAACUCGCAUUCAAGAAGACCAUCAAAAGUAACGAAUCUGAACCUAUAAAUAAGAACGUAUGAUUCGGUGAAAUUCAUCAAUUUCUCAUUCUCAAUCUUGACAAUCCCUAUCAAUGGCAAGCUCCACCUUCCUGCUCGCCGACUUAAAAUCCGGUGGUUGUGCUACGAUUGUUGAAGCCCGGCUUUGGAAAGGCGCAAAUGUGGUGAAAAGCGUUGAGCUCACAGGUUAGACAUGUUGACCAUUGACGAGCAGGUGAUUCCGCGACCAUUGACUGCCUAUUAGUACUUUCCGGGUGGGCUUUGCUGUUACGGCGUCACUGAUUUGUUGUAAGAAGCACAAGUCCUGUCGCUUAUGUGGGCCUAAACUAAAUCUCAGAGGUUCCUGACUUUCUCUCUACGACACAAACAUCAGCACAUUAUCUCGAUGGUGCUCAAGGUGAGUUUUGAAUUUCAUGUGCUUCGGAUUUUGAGUAUUUUAGAUUGAUUCGUGGAUUUUGAUUCGGUGCGUAGACGACAAUGAUAUGGAUCGACAUCUCCGGUGCCAAAAGCCAUGUACACUCUGUUCCAUUAGAGCUUUUGAAUUGUCUUUUUGUCUGUGAUUUAGUGAUCUUUUGACAGCAGCGAUCCAGUUUUCGCUGGUAGUUCAGAAACAGAGGAAUAACAAGGGAAAAGUUUAACUCUUGAGAUUCAAGUUCCAUGAGCACUAAUGUUUGGUUUUUGACUCUUGAUCAACGCACAGAGGAAGUCUUUGCGAACAUAGCUCAAGGCGAUGUUGAAGUUAUCAACCGGGCGGUGAAAGCUGCAAGGAAGGAUAUUGAUGAAGGACCUUAGCCUGAGAUGACCGCUUAUAUGAAAGGUGAAGGAUAAUGCUGAGAUUCACAUAUUUGGUUGAGAAACACAUCAAAGAGCUCUCAUCUCUAGAGACAUUGGACAAUGGGAAGACUUAUGAACAAGCCAAAACAGCAUAAAUUGCAAUGCUUCCCAGAUUGUUUCAAGAGUUUUGUUUUGAUCGAUACUCCUGCAGUUUCUAAGUUUGGAGAGCUUAAAAGGCACCUAAAAUCCAAAAAUAGAGGGACAUCAAACGGUGGAUCAAGAGCUUCAGAAGAUACAAUAGGAUAUAUAGAGUAUGAGUACAAGAAACAUGCGCUAUAAGAAGCACAUCAGCAGGGUCGUGAUGGAGCUUGAUAUGACAUGCAGUGUCAUUGAAGAGCUAAAACUAGAAGUAGCAUUGGCAGAGAAAGAACAAGCGAAACAAGACGCUAAUGUUGCGAAGCUGAGAGUGAAGAAAAUGGAGGGAGACAGUAAAAACGCAACUGGCGUAUUAAACAACAAAUGCUACACUUUGGAGUGUAUAAUUGGACGAGGGAAAUCAAAUGGUGGUCGACUAAGUUUGAAGCAGUUUCAUUCCGAUGGACUAAGGAGGCAAACAAAGUAGAAGAUUGAUUAGCGACUACUAGACCUUUAGACAAUUCUUUUAAAUUUCAUUACUGUGUACCCCAAUAUAUCACUAAUCUUCUUCAUGAAGAUCAUUUAGUCUUCGGUUGCAUAGUAAUAAAAAUAGAUGUUGUAAAAAAUAGUUUUAAUUUAUGAUAUUAAUACAA
Brassica napus (rape) is the source of this 3712-nucleotide long non-coding RNA. RefSeq lists it as uncharacterized. NCBI's taxonomy places the organism in Eukaryota, Viridiplantae, Streptophyta, Magnoliopsida, Brassicales, Brassicaceae. The record is from RefSeq and is a predicted model, not a curated record. The transcript is spliced from 3 exons.